This 520-nucleotide ribosomal RNA is filed under the name uncultured Glomus. Its description in RNAcentral is "SSU rRNA". It matches the Rfam family "Eukaryotic small subunit ribosomal RNA", at positions 569 to 1090 of the family's 1831-position model. Lineage: Eukaryota; Fungi; Glomeromycota; Glomeromycetes; Glomerales; Glomeraceae. The record is from RNAcentral.
AGCAGCCGCGGUAAUUCCAGCUCCAAUAGCGUAUAUUAAAGUUGUUGCAGUUAAAAAGCUCGUAGUUGAAUUUCGGGAUCGACGGGUCGGUCGCGCCUCUGGUGUGUACUGGCCCUGUCGGUUUCUCCCUUCUGACGAACCACGAUGUCAUUAAUUUGGUGUCGUGGGAAAUCAGGACUGUUACUUUGAAAAAAUUAGAGUGUUUAAAGCAGGCAUUCGCUUGAAUACAUUAGCAUGGAAUAAUGAAAUAGGACGUUUGAUCUUAUUUUGUUGGUUUCUAAGAUCGACGUAAUGAUUAAUAGGGAUAGUUGGGGGCAUUAGUAUUCAAUUGUCAGAGGUGAAAUUCUUGGAUUUAUUGAAGACUAACUACUGCGAAAGCAUUUGCCAAGGAUGUUUUCAUUAAUCAAGAACGAAAGUUAGGGGAUCGAAGACGAUCAGGUACCGUCGUAGUCUUAACCAUAAACUAUGCCGACUAGGGAUCGGAUGAUGUUAAUUUUUAAUGUACUCAUUCGGCGCCUUA